GGGGAAUAUUGGGCAAUGGGCGAAAGCCUGACCCAGCGACGCCGUGUGGGUGAUGAAGGCCUUCGGGUUGUAAAGCCCUGUUGGGUGGAAAGAAGGGCUCCUGGACGAAUAAUCCGGGAGCUUUGACGGUACCACCAGAGGAAGCACCGGCUAACUCCGUGCCAGCAGCCGCGGUAAUACGGAGGGUGCAAGCGUUGUUCGGAAUUACUGGGCGUAAAGGGCGCGUAGGUGGUUGCGUAAGUCAGAUGUGAAAUCCCGAGGCUCAACUUCGGAACUGCAUCUGAUACUGCAUGACUUGAGUGCAGCAGAGGGAAACGGAAUUCCUGGUGUAGAGGUGAAAUUCGUAGAUAUCAGGAGGAACACCGGUGGCGAAGGCGGUUUCCUGGGCUGACACUGACACUGAGGCGCGAAAGCGUGGGUAGCAAAC
RNAcentral lists this ribosomal RNA (427 nucleotides) under uncultured bacterium. RNAcentral's name for it is "bacterial SSU rRNA". It matches the Rfam family "Bacterial small subunit ribosomal RNA", at positions 356 to 773 of the family's 1533-position model. The record is from RNAcentral.